This 71-nucleotide transfer RNA is filed under the name Ictidomys tridecemlineatus (thirteen-lined ground squirrel). RNAcentral describes it as "Spermophilus tridecemlineatus (thirteen-lined ground squirrel) tRNA". It matches the Rfam family "tRNA". From Rfam's summary of the family: Transfer RNA (tRNA) molecules are approximately 80 nucleotides in length. Their secondary structure includes four short double-helical elements and three loops (D, anti-codon, and T loops). Further hydrogen bonds mediate the characteristic L-shaped molecular structure. tRNAs have two regions of fundamental functional importance: the anti-codon, which is responsible for specific mRNA codon recognition, and the 3' end, to which the tRNAs corresponding amino acid is attached (by aminoacyl-tRNA synthetases). tRNAs cope with the degeneracy of the genetic code in two manners: having more than one tRNA (with a specific anti-codon) for a particular amino acid; and 'wobble' base-pairing, i.e. permitting non-standard base-pairing at the 3rd anti-codon position. RNAcentral also lists the same sequence under 1 other name. The record is from Rfam by way of RNAcentral. Lineage: Eukaryota; Metazoa; Chordata; Mammalia; Rodentia; Sciuridae.
GGAGAUGUAGCUCAGUUGUAGAGUGUUUGCCCAGCAAGCAUGAGGCUUUGGGUUCAAUCCCCAGCACCCCA